This 272-nucleotide unclassified non-coding RNA is filed under the name fungal sp. Its description in RNAcentral is "partial internal transcribed spacer region". The stretch from base 1 to 46 matches the Rfam family "Eukaryotic small subunit ribosomal RNA", at positions 1786 to 1831 of the family's 1831-position model. The record is from RNAcentral. Lineage: Eukaryota; Fungi.
AAGUCGUAACAAGGUUUCCGUAGGUGAACCUGCGGAAGGAUCAUUACCAAAAAAUCCAAUACCAACCCCUUUUUGUGAAUACUUUGAAUGUACUUGGGAGAGCUUGGAUCUCUCAAAGUUUUUAUUUUUCUUUAAACUUUGACUGCCUUCUCUCCCACGUUUAUUAACCUUAAAACACCUUUCAUGGGUUAACUAUAUAAUAGUAAUUUCAUACUAAAAAAAUAAAAAAUUUAAAAGUUAAACAACUUUUAACGGUGGAUCUCUUGGCUCGU